AAGCUUAGGAUAAACUAAACCAAGGGCCUUCAAAGCCCUAAACAAGAGUACCAACCUCUUAGCCUCUGCCU
RNAcentral lists this transfer RNA (71 nucleotides) under Draco haematopogon. Its description in RNAcentral is "tRNA-Trp". It matches the Rfam family "tRNA". From Rfam's summary of the family: Transfer RNA (tRNA) molecules are approximately 80 nucleotides in length. Their secondary structure includes four short double-helical elements and three loops (D, anti-codon, and T loops). Further hydrogen bonds mediate the characteristic L-shaped molecular structure. tRNAs have two regions of fundamental functional importance: the anti-codon, which is responsible for specific mRNA codon recognition, and the 3' end, to which the tRNAs corresponding amino acid is attached (by aminoacyl-tRNA synthetases). tRNAs cope with the degeneracy of the genetic code in two manners: having more than one tRNA (with a specific anti-codon) for a particular amino acid; and 'wobble' base-pairing, i.e. permitting non-standard base-pairing at the 3rd anti-codon position. The record is from RNAcentral. Lineage: Eukaryota; Metazoa; Chordata; Lepidosauria; Squamata; Agamidae.